Molecule: long non-coding RNA, 581 nt
Filed under: Homo sapiens (human)
Lineage: Eukaryota; Metazoa; Chordata; Mammalia; Primates; Hominidae
Description: HSALNT0038847
Source: RNAcentral
GCACUUCAUUAGAGGAGGAGCUCCCUUUGAUCUGCUGCCUGAGUGCGUGGCUGUGUCCUGGGAGGAAGGAUGAAAGAGGCCUGGCCAGGACCCCCAACCCAAAGUUCUGGGCUCAAGGGCAACCUCCAGUUCAGAAGAGGCACUUGGCUUCACUCCAGCCCACAACUGGGGACAGGGGACAACUGAGGAGAAGAUAGCUGGAUUCCCAUAUCUGCUUCUGCAUCCAGUCUGUUGUGAUAUCACGUGUCAUGUCGCCUCUGGAAAGUGCCACUCUACACUUAGAAGUUCAAGAAUGAGAAGAAAAAGGCGGAUAAUGUCUCAGUGUUAUUAUGAAAAUAUUUUUGACCUUGUGGAUCCCCCAGGGAUUCCUUGGCCACACUUUGAGAACUGCUGCACUAUGCCAUUAAUGUUCAUUGAUGACACAUCAAUAUACACAAUGUAUCACCACUACACAUUUUAUAAAGUCUCAGGCAUAUUCAAGGCUGUAUAUCAAAUACAUUGACUCAGCCCCUGUGGAAUACAGGAAGGGAAUGGGAUAAAAGGGGGAAUGAAAUAAAUAAGAUAAAGCAAGAAAGAAUCUG